UAAUAGGGUAUGUAAGUCUCGUCAUGUGACUUGCGAGAUUUCACGAUAUUUUGCACUUCCGGGUACAAACAAAUAUCAACAACAUUGCUUAUCUAUAUUGGGUAAUACUUGUAUGCCGGUGGGAAAGUAAAACUUACACGGAAAAACAAAGGACAUGUGGAAAUUGGCAGAGUUUUUUGUUUUGUAACGACAUGCAAAUAGUUUCAUCUUGUGAACAAGUAUCAAUGAAAGACAACUUCGUAUAAUCUUCAGAUAUUUAGACUGAGGACAGUGGUGCGAUGAAAGACGUCAGUAUCCGAUGUAAAUACACAUGCAUGCUCUGCUGUAAAAUCGUUUUGGUAUGUGAUUACAUGGUUGGAUCUUGAGUACUUGUCAUGGCUCUUGAUUUAUUUUGGAGUAUUCACCAUCAGAUUAGAAACAGACAUAGUUGAAAGGAAAUGUCCAUACACAGUCUUGGAGUACAUAGUGGUAGAGACAUGGCAGUCCAUUACAGAUUUUGACUGAAUUAAAGCUUCUUAAAGCUCCAUGUCUUGUGUAAACUGUCUAACUGAAUGUUUGUAUUCUAAUAAAAACUAUAUAAGGUUUGAGACAUUUCAAAGAUAUAUGUCAGUGUAAAAAUGUUAAACAAAAUAUCUGUCUUUGUUAGAAAUAAAUAACCUUAACCUUAUUAAUCUAGCCAUUGCUGUUAGAGAAUUAAAGUACACAGUGACACUUAUUUUGCAGAUGAACCCUUAUGAUCAAGUACUGCUAUAAAUAUAUGCCAAAUAGUAGAAACAAAAAACAGUUCAUAAGUUUGAUAAUUUUUUAUU
Ruditapes philippinarum (Manila clam) is the source of this 809-nucleotide long non-coding RNA. RefSeq lists it as uncharacterized. The record is from RefSeq and is a predicted model, not a curated record. The transcript is spliced from 3 exons. NCBI's taxonomy places the organism in Eukaryota, Metazoa, Mollusca, Bivalvia, Venerida, Veneridae.